Molecule: ribosomal RNA, 375 nt
Filed under: uncultured bacterium
Lineage: Bacteria
Description: bacterial SSU rRNA
Rfam family: Bacterial small subunit ribosomal RNA
Source: RNAcentral
UAAUACGUAGGGUGCGAGCGUUAAUCGGAUUUACUGGGCGUAAAGCGUACGCAGGCGGCUGGGUAAGACAGGUGUGAAAUCCCCGGGCUUAACCUGGGAACUGCAUUUGUGACUGCCUGGCUAGAGUCUGUCAGAGGGGGGUGGAAUUCCACGUGUAGCAGUGAAAUGCGUAGAGAUGUGGAGGAACACCGAUGGCGAAGGCAGCCCCCUGGGAUGAGACUGACGCUCAUGUACGAAAGCGUGGGGAGCAAACAGGAUUAGAUACCCUGGUAGUCCACGCCCUAAACGAUGUCGACUAGUUGUCGGGCCUUUACAGGCUUGGUAACGCAGCUAACGCGUGAAGUCGACCGCCUGGGGAGUACGGUCGCAAGAUUA